RNAcentral lists this ribosomal RNA (606 nucleotides) under Bacillus sp. Bts3a. RNAcentral's name for it is "bacterial SSU rRNA". The stretch from base 1 to 360 matches the Rfam family "Bacterial small subunit ribosomal RNA", at positions 48 to 400 of the family's 1533-position model. Lineage: Bacteria; Bacillati; Bacillota; Bacilli; Caryophanales; Bacillaceae. The record is from RNAcentral.
GCUAUACAUGCAGUCGAGCGGAUCGAUGGGAGCUUGCUCCCUGAGAUCAGCGGCGGACGGGUGAGUAACACGUGGGUAACCUGCCUGUAAGACUGGGAUAACUCCGGGAAACCGGGGCUAAUACCGGAUAACACCUACCCCCGCAUGGGGGAAGGUUGAAAGGUGGCUUCUGCUAUCACUUACAGAUGGACCCGCGGCGCAUUAGCUAGUUGGUGAGGUAAUGGCUCACCAAGGCGACGAUGCGUAGCCGACCUGAGACGGUGAUCGGCCACACUGGGACCGAGACACGGCCCAUACUCCUACGGGAGGCAGCAGCACGGAAUCUUCCGCAAUGGACCACCGCCUCCCGGACCACCCCCCCAAGCGCCCCCCCCGCCCCCUCAUCCAAAAGGUCCGUUGUUUCGGCUCCUCGUCCUACCCCCCAAUGUCCCGCCGUCUUGACGGCUGCUUCCCUACCCAUACCCGCACUGCGCGCGGCGUCCGACGUCUUGUUACUCUCGAUCUCACCGCCCGGCUAUCACCUCGCCCGUUAACUCCACUACCCAUGACAACCGCUCUCCUUGCCGCUCGGACCUCAACACCAGGUCGUACACUCCUACCCGCUGA